RNAcentral lists this ribosomal RNA (247 nucleotides) under uncultured archaeon. RNAcentral's name for it is "partial 16S ribosomal RNA". It matches the Rfam family "Archaeal small subunit ribosomal RNA", at positions 691 to 937 of the family's 1478-position model. The record is from RNAcentral.
CCGACGGUGAGGGAUGAAAGCUGGGGGCACGAACCGGAUUAGAUACCCGGGUAGUCCCAGCUGUAAACGAUGCUCGCUAGGUGUCAGGUGCGGCGCGACCGCAUCUGGUGCCGCAGUGAAAACUUGAAGCGAGUCACCUGGGAAGUACGGUCGCAAGGCUGAAACUUAAAGGAAUUGGCGGGGGAGCACUACAACGGGUGGAGCCUGCGGUUCAAUUGGAUUCAACGCCGGAAAGCUUACCGGACUC